Molecule: long non-coding RNA, 406 nt
Filed under: Numida meleagris (helmeted guineafowl)
Lineage: Eukaryota; Metazoa; Chordata; Aves; Galliformes; Numididae
Description: lncRNA (ENSNMEG00000016002.1)
Source: RNAcentral
CUGUAAGAGAAAGGCAAUGGAGAAAAGGAAGAGAAAAUGGGGUUUGGUUCUUCUUGUUCCAAAGCAAGGAGGAGCUGGAACGGAAAGGCUGCACCUGUCCCACUAAACUUUCACACGGUCACUGCAAUUCCGGUGCAAGAAAUCCCAUUCUUUCCACGAAGAAUGGGAGGAAGACCAGCCCAGUUCAUCGGCAGCAGCCAGUGCCAUGGGGAUGCUGUUCCGAGGACAGGACAGGUCACUGCCAGCUCGGUGUCAUGGUUUGAUCUUUCAGGAAAAUGUAAUAGUUACCUGACAGCAGUGGUUGUCUCCAUCCACCCUCUCAUCCUCAAAACGGAGCUACAAAAAUAGAUUCACUCACAAAUGAAGAGCAAAUAAAGAUGGCUCCCAGCACGUGAAUAGCUGAUGA